Molecule: ribosomal RNA, 241 nt
Filed under: uncultured bacterium
Lineage: Bacteria
Description: partial 16S ribosomal RNA
Rfam family: Bacterial small subunit ribosomal RNA
Source: RNAcentral
AGCGGCGGACGGGUGAGUAACGCGUGGGUAACCGUGCCUCAUACAGGGGGAUAACAGUUGGAAACGGCUGCUAAUACCGCAUAAGCGCACAGUACCGCAUGGUACCGUGUGAAAAACUCCGAUGGUAUGGGAUGGACCCGCGUCUGAUUAGCUAGUUGGUGGGGUAACGGCCUACCAAGGCGACGAUCAGUAGCCGACCUGAGAGGGUGACCGGCCACAUUGGGACUGAGACACGGCCCAA